This 497-nucleotide ribosomal RNA is filed under the name uncultured bacterium. RNAcentral's name for it is "partial 16S ribosomal RNA". It matches the Rfam family "Bacterial small subunit ribosomal RNA", at positions 28 to 507 of the family's 1533-position model. The record is from RNAcentral.
GAUGAACGUUGGCGGCGUGCCUAAUACAUGCAAGUCGAGCGAACGGACGAGAAGCUUGCUUCUCUGAUGUUAGCGGCGGACGGGUGAGUAACACGUGGAUAACCUACCUAUAAGACUGGGAUAACUUCGGGAAACCGGAGCUAAUACCGGAUAAUAUUUUGAACCGCAUGGUUCAAAAGUGAAAGACGGCCUUGCUGUCACUUAUAGAUGGAUCCGCGCUGCAUUAGCUAGUUGGUAAGGUAACGGCUUACCAAGGCAACGAUGCAUAGCCGACCUGAGAGGGUGAUCGGCCACACUGGAACUGAGACACGGUCCAGACUCCUACGGGAGGCAGCAGUAGGGAAUCUUCCGCAAUGGGCGAAAGCCUGACGGAGCAACGCCGCGUGAGUGAUGAAGGUCUUCGGAUCGUAAAACUCUGUUAUUAGGGAAGAACAUAUGUGUAAGUAACUGUGCACAUCUUGACGGUACCUAAUCAGAAAGCCACGGCUAACUACGUG